RNAcentral lists this unclassified non-coding RNA (460 nucleotides) under Hevea brasiliensis (rubber tree). Lineage: Eukaryota; Viridiplantae; Streptophyta; Magnoliopsida; Malpighiales; Euphorbiaceae. The record is from RNAcentral.
AGAGAGAGAGAGAGAGAGGUGGUGAAAAGAAAAGAGUGAGUGAAGAGAUGAGGUGGUCAUUUUGGAGUAUGAAGACAGAAACAUAUGCAAGGAAAAGAGAGAGAAGGUGCGAGGUGGCCCCCCAAGUUAUGUAUAUCUUUGAUAGAAGAGGAGAUUCUGAUGGAUACAUGUGUUAAUGGGUGGUAGAGAGAAAGAAAGUGACUUGUUUUUUAGGUGGUGGUUUUCUUUUGCCACUAUUGUGUGGGGUCCCAUUUGAUUGAGAAGUGCACUUAGGAUUCAAUGGUAAAAAAAUGUACUUUUUACUUUAUUUUCUUGUGUAAAAUUCAAGCAAAUUGUCAAACAAAAUUUGACAAUAAAACAUUUUUUUUUUCUAUUUAUAGUUAGAGUAUUUUCUGAGUUAAUUUGUGUAUAUUAAGUUAUUUUCCAAGUGAUUUAAGGAUAGAUGAAGCAUCUUAUAUCU